RNAcentral lists this ribosomal RNA (408 nucleotides) under uncultured prokaryote. RNAcentral describes it as "bacterial SSU rRNA". It matches the Rfam family "Bacterial small subunit ribosomal RNA", at positions 355 to 774 of the family's 1533-position model. The record is from RNAcentral.
UAACGAAUAUUGGGCAAUGGGCGAAAGCCUGACCCAGCGACGCCGCGUAUAGGAUGAAGUUCUUCGGAAUGUAAACUAUUGUCAGGGGCAAGAAAGACGUAAGUUUGAUCAGCCCCAGAGGAAGUCACGACUAACUUCGUGCCAGCAGUCGCGGUAAUACGAAGGUGACAAGCGUUAUUCGAAAUCACUGGGCUUAAAGGGUGCGUAGGCGGAAAUGUAAGUGUCUUGUGAAAUACCUUGGCUCAACCAAGGCAUUGCUCGGCAUACUGCAUUUCUUGAGGCAAGCAGGGGUGUGUGGAACUCUUGGUGGAGCGGUGGAAUGCGUAGAUAUCAAGAGGAACGCCGAAGGUGAAGACAGCACACUGGGCUUGUCCUGACGCUGAUGCACGAAAGCGUGGGGAGCAAACA